This 405-nucleotide unclassified non-coding RNA is filed under the name Hevea brasiliensis (rubber tree). The record is from RNAcentral. Lineage: Eukaryota; Viridiplantae; Streptophyta; Magnoliopsida; Malpighiales; Euphorbiaceae.
UUAAAUCUUUCUUUUAAUGAUCUUGUUGGUGAGAUUCCAACAGAAGGAGUUUUCAGAAACGCAAGUGCAAUGUCAUUGAUGGGUAAUACUAAGCUUUGCGGUGGUGUGCCAGAACUCCAUCAACCAAAAUGCCCUACUAAAGCAAUGAAGAAAGGAAAGUCCACUGCUAUUAAGUUAGCAACCAUAAUUCCUUGUGUGAUUUUCUUUGUCCUGUUGAUGUUGACCUUCCUAUUUGCUUAUCGAAGAAGAGUAUCAAAAAAGAGCUCGUCUGCUGCACCCAUGGAAAUUGAUGGCCUUGUAAAUGUAUCUUACCGGGAUCUUUAUGAUGCAACAAGUGGAUUCUCUGCCCAUAACUUAAUUGGAUCUGGCAGCUUUGGUUCAGUGUAUAAAGGAUUUCUCAAUCAA